UCACUGUUGGAAUCUCCAUUGCUAUGCUGUCCUUCAUCAGUUCCCACAUUUAGUCUGCAAGGACCAGGUUUAGUUUCUUCCUUCUCUAGGGUGCUAUUCAUACCUUCUUUUUUAUCCCGCUUCUUCAAAAACUUAAAUUCCUUUCCAAGACCUCAGGUUGGUUCGAGUUUGAGGCGUAUCAGAAUGCUUUAACCACCUCAGAUCCAAUAGUUCGGGUUUGUCCUUACAAAUGGAGUGGAUGGUGGAGAUUGGAUCGUAUCCCAAAUACUUUAACUAACUUAGAUCUGAUGGUAGGGAGUUGAUCUUGCCAAUCAAGAGUCAUGACUCAAAAUAACUUCUGAACUCCUGGUUUCCCAAACCUUCCAAUCUUUAUUGGCCAUUUCUCGGUCAACCCGAUCUCUGUGCCUUGUUCGCCCACCCGAUCUCUCAUCAUGGUUGGCGACUUUGAGACCUUCUCACCUGACCUCUCAUACUGACCCUUUUCAUGCCCGAUCUCUUCUUGCUUCUCCACUCUCUUUUCUACCCGUCCCUGUAUUUGGUCUGUGUCGAUGAACAUCGAAUAUUGGGGAAGCAUUAAAUUCUCCACUUACCGAUGAACCGCUUUGAGUUCUAUGAGCAUUAAAUACCUAGGCCUAUAAAUACUUGGGGGUAGUAGGCUGUCAUCCUCACAUUUCCACCUUCCUUCUCCGAUCAAUUUCUGACGUGUUCUUCCACCAUGCCUUACAUCUCCAGCACUGAUUUUCAACAUGACGACCGCUUUGAUCUUUUUCCGAUAACCUCCUUUGCCUGACACCUGAAAAUGGACGACACCGAUGGUCAAAGAAUUACGAGAAUGUCAUCUGAUGAUGGUGAGGGAACCGGACUAAAUUGCCGAUCCGAGUCCAAAAUGACUACCAUUCUGAUCUCUAAUCGGCCUAUCGGUCUGAGCCAAAGACCAAUCUCGGGCAAGGAGACUGCUAAUUUCAAUCUUGAUAUCGAUUACCGCCUCUUGAAGUUCAU
RNAcentral lists this unclassified non-coding RNA (999 nucleotides) under Hevea brasiliensis (rubber tree). Lineage: Eukaryota; Viridiplantae; Streptophyta; Magnoliopsida; Malpighiales; Euphorbiaceae. The record is from RNAcentral.